UUUUCAUUCUUUCUUUUGUUCCAUACUUCCAAUACUAGCUGCUCUUCCAUCUUCAAAGAGUUAUCCUACAGAGUAGAAAUAGAAUCAUAAAAAAAAAACAAAGAAAGUUAACCCUGCAAUAUAACCCAAGCUAGUGUGGUAAUAGAUAUAUGCCUUGCAGCUUCCCCUAUAAUCUCUAAAUACUUACCUUUGCUCACUUUUGCUUCUCCCCUUUCUUCAUCUUCUUCUCUUUUGGUUUCUUAUUCGUUGCUUCUUAAAUGGUAAGUUGAAAAUGUUGACACCAAGUCCUCAAACAUGGUUGUCCUAGCUUUUUAGCUAGUACGUACUCUUCUUUGCCUUCAUUUGCUGAUCUUGAACUACACCGUAACGUGGUUCAGAGGAUAGAAGAAACGAAAAACAUGAUGGAUAGUAAUCGCGAUGAAGUAGUAGUUUCAAGAACGACGAAUUCAUUGAUGAUGAGAGUUCUUGUGUUUGUGAGCUUUGUUGGGUUUUUGAUUAUUGUUAAUGAGGUUACUGUUGUACCAAGUAGUACUAGUGAAGAACCGAUCCCAGUGUCGUCGUCAAGAACAACGAGAACAAGUAUAUCAGCAUCAUCAUCCUUAGGAAGUAGUAAUGGAAGACAUGGUAGUAAACCUACUGCUACUCCUCGUGUUGGUAAGAGAAGUUACAUGUCGAGCGAAAGAAGAGUUCCUAAUGGUCCUGAUCCCAUUCAUAACAGCAGUUUUGAAGGAAUCGUCAAGAAUUUUUUGAUCACUGAGAAAUCUUUGAUCAAUCUUAUGGUGCAUGGGAUUAACAAUAUUAAUAAUUACGUUGGUAAUACGACAGUAUGAGCAUAUAUUCGACAUGACAUGCAUGGUAGCCGAACAUUCUUUUCAAGUCGGCUUCGAAUAAUAAUAUACUGGAGUAAUUUUUUAACAGAAAAAGAAAAAGUAAAAGAAAAAAGAUAAAGCAUUUCCGAAAAUUGUUUUUUUCCUUAAAUGAGAGCAAGGAAGUCCAAAGAACCACCAGGCCGAGCUUAGUAGUUAGGCUUUAAAAUUUAAAACCCUUAUAGUAUUAAUAGAGUUUUGAAAAUGCUAUUAAUUGAAUUUUGUGAAGAAAAUUGAUGUGAGUUGAUUGAUUACAAUGUAGUGUGGAUAAUUUGGAUUUAUGUAUAAACCAGUAAGGACUCAAAUCUUUGAGACAAUUAAUAUAUAAUAAACCCAAAACUACAAAAGGGUUCACAACUUA
This is an RNA transcript of Papaver somniferum (opium poppy), 1227 nucleotides long. RefSeq lists it as uncharacterized. The transcript is spliced from 3 exons. The record is from RefSeq and is a predicted model, not a curated record. Lineage: Eukaryota; Viridiplantae; Streptophyta; Magnoliopsida; Ranunculales; Papaveraceae.